This 736-nucleotide ribosomal RNA is filed under the name Lactiplantibacillus plantarum. RNAcentral describes it as "bacterial SSU rRNA". It matches the Rfam family "Bacterial small subunit ribosomal RNA", at positions 63 to 768 of the family's 1533-position model. Lineage: Bacteria; Bacillati; Bacillota; Bacilli; Lactobacillales; Lactobacillaceae. The record is from RNAcentral.
CGAACUCUGGUAUUGAUUGGUGCUUGCAUCAUGAUUUACAUUUGAGUGAGUGGCGAACUGGUGAGUAACACGUGGGAAACCUGCCCAGAAGCGGGGGAUAACACCUGGAAACAGAUGCUAAUACCGCAUAACAACUUGGACCGCAUGGUCCGAGCUUGAAAGAUGGCUUCGGCUAUCACUUUUGGAUGGUCCCGCGGCGUAUUAGCUAGAUGGUGGGGUAACGGCUCACCAUGGCAAUGAUACGUAGCCGACCUGAGAGGGUAAUCGGCCACAUUGGGACUGAGACACGGCCCAAACUCCUACGGGAGGCAGCAGUAGGGAAUCUUCCACAAUGGACGAAAGUCUGAUGGAGCAACGCCGCGUGAGUGAAGAAGGGUUUCGGCUCGUAAAACUCUGUUGUUAAAGAAGAACAUAUCUGAGAGUAACUGUUCAGGUAUUGACGGUAUUUAACCAGAAAGCCACGGCUAACUACGUGCCAGCAGCCGCGGUAAUACGUAGGUGGCAAGCGUUGUCCGGAUUUAUUGGGCGUAAAGCGAGCGCAGGCGGUUUUUUAAGUCUGAUGUGAAAGCCUUCGGCUCAACCGAAGAAGUGCAUCGGAAACUGGGAAACUUGAGUGCAGAAGAGGACAGUGGAACUCCAUGUGUAGCGGUGAAAUGCGUAGAUAUAUGGAAGAACACCAGUGGCGAACGCGGCUGUCUGGUCUGUAACUGACGCUGAGGCUCGAAAGUAUGGGUAG